UGACUGUGAGGCUUACUCGCCGAGCAGGGACGAAAGUCGGGCUUAGUGACCUUCUGAUCCCGAGUGGAAGGGUCAGGAAUCAUCGGAUAAAAGCUACCCCGGGGAUAACAGGCUUAUCACGCCCAAGCGUUCACAGCGACGGCGUGGUUUGGCACCUCAACAACAUGGGGUGAGAUGGCGGAAACGCCAUUCACGCACCGGCUUAUAACGGUGGACUCCUAUCGUGUCGCGCAAGUGGCGACCGAGGACAACACCGUGGGAAGUCUGUCCAAGGAACAGCGAUCACUCAUCAUCGGAUCGCUGCUGGGCGAUGGCGCAAUGCGCUGCAAGGCCAACGCGCUGAUCGAGUUCAACCAUGGAGCCCACCAGCGCUCGUAUGUUGACUGGAAGUACCAGCAACUGAGUGCUUUGGUGGGAACGCCACCGAAGCUCCAUUUUGGAAACGGUGGGCGUAUAGUUUACCGGUUCACGACAUUGAGUCUUCCCGAGUUGACGCCCUUCUAUUGGUCGUUCUACUCGGAUCGACGAAAGUCGGUUCCAGAAGUCGAGCUCACGCCGCUCUCUCUAGCGGUGUGGUUCAUGGAUGACGGAUCAAAGAGCUACCGGGCUCUUUAUCUGAACACCCAGCAGUUUGAUCUCGAGAGUCAGCAUCGCCUUCUAGCGAUGUUGGCGAAACAGUGGUCGAUCCGAGCAACUUUGAAUCGCGACAAGACCUACUAUCGGAUUCGUAUUGCGGUAGAGAGCGUCGCGCGAUUCAUUGAAAUCGUCCAGCCUCACAUGCUGGAAGAAAUGCUCUACAAGUUCCCUGGACAUGACCCUGUAACGACUGAUCCACUGAAGAGUGGUGAGAUGUCGCUCCGCUUCGAACGAAGCAAUCUAUGAGCGUCAUCAAACGCCGGCCCCUCGCUCUUACGAGCAGGGUGGAGAGAUAGUCUGCACCGUCGGUAACGACGGAGAUUGCGCGAUGUCGGCUCGUCGCAUCCUGGGGGGGCAGUACCUCCCAAGGGUUGGGCUGUUCGCCCAUUAAAGCGGUACGCGAGCUGGGUUCAGAACGUUGUGAAACAGUUCGAGAUUGAGCUGUUGUCUCUCACGCAAUGUUCGUAGUGCCUGUUAAUGAAUGAGAGCUCGGCAACGCAAGCCGAGAACAAAUCUGGCUAAAUGCUGGAAACUCCGUGAAUCCUCCGCUACUGCGUAAGCAGUGAAAACGCGAGAGGUGCGGACAAUCAGCAGGAAAGACCGAUCGAACGAUCGGAAUCCUCACAGGCCAUACGCCGGACUCGACGUGAGUCGAGAAGAUAUGGUCGGAUCCCUGCGGCGACGCAGGGUGCCAGCGAAAACUAGAAAUCAGCUGGCCUAGUAACAAGAAGUCGGUCUCUAUCCAGUGUGCGCGCAGGUGAGUUGAGAGGAGUUGCCCCCAGUACGAGAGGACCGGGGUGAGCGGACCGAUGGUGUACGAGUUGUCCUGCCAAGGGCACCGCUCGGUAGCUAUGUCCGUUCCGGAUAACCGCUGAAAGCAUCUAAGUGGGAAGCCGACCUCGAGAUGAGCUCACCCUCUGGGUAACCA
Molecule: ribosomal RNA, 1564 nt
Filed under: Chloroflexota bacterium
Lineage: Bacteria; Bacillati; Chloroflexota
Description: Chloroflexi bacterium partial 23S ribosomal RNA
Rfam family: Bacterial large subunit ribosomal RNA
Source: RNAcentral